Molecule: long non-coding RNA, 165 nt
Organism: Malurus melanocephalus (red-backed fairy wren)
Lineage: Eukaryota; Metazoa; Chordata; Aves; Passeriformes; Maluridae
Exons: 3
Source: RefSeq, a predicted model, not a curated record
GGCCGACGCUGCCGCUGGUAAAGAUUCCGGAGCUGCCAAAGUCACCCAAGCUGACCCCACAGGAGAAGCUGAAGCUGAGGAUGCAGAAGGCGCUGAACAGGCAAUUUAAAGCCGACAAAAAGGCGGCGCAGGAGAAGAUGCUGCAGCAGGAACACGAGAGACAGG